RNAcentral lists this ribosomal RNA (574 nucleotides) under uncultured Providencia sp. RNAcentral describes it as "bacterial SSU rRNA". It matches the Rfam family "Bacterial small subunit ribosomal RNA", at positions 9 to 597 of the family's 1533-position model. Lineage: Bacteria; Pseudomonadati; Pseudomonadota; Gammaproteobacteria; Enterobacterales; Morganellaceae. The record is from RNAcentral.
GAGUUUGAUCAUGGCUCACAUUGAACGCUGGCGGCAGGCCUAACACAUGCAACUCCCGCGGUAGGGAAGCUUGCUUCCCACCAGCGGCGGACGGGUGAGUAAUGUAUGGGGAUCUGCCCGAUAGAGGGGGAUAACUACUGGAAACGGUAGCUAAUACCGCAUAAUCUCUCAGGAGCAAAGCAGUUCGUUGCGCUAUCGGAUGAACCCAUAUGGGAUUAGCUAGUUGGUGAGGUAAUGGCUCACCAAGGCGACGAUCCCUACCUGGUCUGAGAGGAUGAUCAGCCACACUGGGACUGAGACACGGCCCAGACUCCUACCGGAGGCAGCAGUGGGGAAUAUUGCACAAUGGGCGCAAGCCUGAUGCAGCCAUGCCGCGUGUAUGAAGAAGGCCUUAGGGUUGUAAAGUACUUUCAGUUGGGAGGAAGGCGUUGAUUAAUAUCAACGAUUGACGUUACCAACAGAAGAAGCACCGGCUAACUCCGUGCCAGCAGCCGCGGUAAUACGGAGGGUGCAAGCGUUAAUCAUAAUUACUGGGCGUAAAGCGCACGCAGGCGGUUGAUUAAGUAGAUGUGAA